GAUGAACGCUGGCGGCGUGCCUAAUACAUGCAAGUCGAGCGAACAGACGAGGAGCUUGCUCCUCUGACGUUAGCGGCGGACGGGUGAGUAACACGUGGAUAACCUACCUAUAAGACUGGGAUAACUUCGGGAAACCGGCGCUAAUACCGGAUAAUAUAUUGAACCGCAUGGUUCAAUAGUGAAAGACGGUUUUGCUGUCACUUAUAGAUGGAUCCGCGCCGCAUUAGCUAGUUGGUAAGGUAACGGCUUACCAAGGCAACGAUGCGUAGCCGACCUGAGAGGGUGAUCGGCCACACUGGAACGAAGACCCGGUCCAGACUCCUACGGGAGGCAGCAGUAGGGAAGCUUCCGCAAUGGGCGAAAGCCUGACGGAGCAACGCCGCGUGAGUGAUGAAGGUCUUCGGAUCGUAAAACUCUGUUAUUAGGGAAGAACAAAUGUGUAAGUAACUAUGCACGUCUUGACGGUACCUAAUCAGAAAGCAACGGCUAACUACGUG
This 497-nucleotide ribosomal RNA is filed under the name uncultured bacterium. Its description in RNAcentral is "partial 16S ribosomal RNA". It matches the Rfam family "Bacterial small subunit ribosomal RNA", at positions 28 to 507 of the family's 1533-position model. The record is from RNAcentral.